GACGAACGCUGGCGGCGUGCUUAACACAUGCAAGUCGAACGGAAAGGCCCUGCUUGCAGGGUACUCGAGUGGCGCACGGGUGAGUAACACGUGGGUGAUCUGCCCUGCACUUCGGGAUAAGCCUGGGAAACUGGGUCUAAUACCGGAUAGGAGCCCUUUUUAGUGUGAUGGUUGGAAAGUUUUUUCGGUGUAGGAUGAGCUCGCGGCCUAUCCGCUUGUUGGUGGGGUAAUGGCCUACCAAGGCGGCGACGGGUAGCCGGCCUGAGAGGGUGGACGGCCACAUUGGGACUGAGAUACGGCCCAGACUCCUACGGGAGGCAGCAGUGGGGAAUAUUGCACAAUGGGCGCAAGCCUGAUGCAGCGACGCCGCGUGGGGGAUGACGGCCUUCGGGUUGUAAACUCCUUUCGCUAGGGACGAAGCUUUUGUGACGGUACCUAGAUAAGAAGCACCGGCUAACUACGUG
RNAcentral lists this ribosomal RNA (464 nucleotides) under uncultured bacterium. RNAcentral's name for it is "partial 16S ribosomal RNA". It matches the Rfam family "Bacterial small subunit ribosomal RNA", at positions 28 to 507 of the family's 1533-position model. The record is from RNAcentral.